AGUGGAGAGUGGCUGCUGCUUAUAAACCGGCUUGAUUGCAGAUGAGGAGCAGGUGUGUCUGUGUGUCUGUGUGAGUGUCUUUGCAGGUCUGGGUCGUCAAGGUGAUGGGCUGCACCUGGAGCAGUCGUUAUAAAGAGCUCUCCCAGCCGGCGUGGUCUCUCUCUGGUCGGGCACUCCUCUGCUCUCAUCCCGUGGGCGGCACCGCGGCGCGGCGCUCCUGUUUUGUUUUCGUUGUGCACAAUUUAUUUACUUUUGUAAUAAAUUUGUAAUCACUUUUGUAUA
Notolabrus celidotus (New Zealand spotty) is the source of this 282-nucleotide long non-coding RNA. RefSeq lists it as uncharacterized. The transcript is spliced from 2 exons. The record is from RefSeq and is a predicted model, not a curated record. Lineage: Eukaryota; Metazoa; Chordata; Actinopteri; Labriformes; Labridae.